Molecule: ribosomal RNA, 468 nt
Filed under: uncultured bacterium
Lineage: Bacteria
Description: partial 16S ribosomal RNA
Rfam family: Bacterial small subunit ribosomal RNA
Source: RNAcentral
GACGAACGCUGGCGGUGUGCUUAACACAUGCAAGUCGAACGGAAAGGCCCUGCUUUUGUGGGGUGCUCGAGUGGCGAACGGGUGAGUAACACGUGAGUAACCUGCCCUUGACUUUGGGAUAACUUCAGGAAACUGGGGCUAAUACCGGAUAGGAGCUCCUGCUGCAUGGUGGGGGUUGGAAAGUUUCGGCGGUUGGGGAUGGACUCGCGGCUUAUCAGCUUGUUGGUGGGGUAGUGGCUUACCAAGGCUUUGACGGGUAGCCGGCCUGAGAGGGUGACCGGCCACAUUGGGACUGAGAUACGGCCCAGACUCCUACGGGAGGCAGCAGUGGGGAAUAGUGCACAAUGGGCGGAAGCCUGAUGCAGCAACGCAGCGUGCGGGAUGACGGCCUUCGGGUUGUAAACCGCUUUCGCCUGUGACGAAGCGUGAGUGACGGUAAUGGGUAAAGAAGCACCGGCUAACUACGUG